RNAcentral lists this transfer RNA (81 nucleotides) under compost metagenome. Its description in RNAcentral is "tRNA-Ala". The record is from RNAcentral.
GCGCACGUAGAUCGAGGUGAGAUCGGUGGGUUGGCGCCGCGCCUGGUCCUCGAGCCGCACGAUCACAUCGUACUGCUUGCC